This 305-nucleotide ribosomal RNA is filed under the name uncultured bacterium. RNAcentral describes it as "bacterial SSU rRNA". It matches the Rfam family "Bacterial small subunit ribosomal RNA", at positions 335 to 637 of the family's 1533-position model. The record is from RNAcentral.
UUUCCUACGGGAGGCAGCAGUGAGGAAUAUUGGUCAAUGGGCGGAAGCCUGAACCAGCCAAGUCGCGUGAGGGAAGAAGGCCCUGCGGGUCGCAGACCUCUUUGGACGGGGAGCAAGGCCGCCGACGUGUCGGCGGAAGGAGAGUACCCGUAGAACAAGCAUCGGCUAACUCCGUGCCAGCAGCCGCGGUAAUACGGAGGAUGCGAGCGUUAUCCGGAUUUAUUGGGUUUAAAGGGUGCGUAGGCGGAUUUUUAAGUCAGCGGUAAAAUGUCCGGGCUCAACCCGGGCCGGCCGUUGAAACUGGG